AACGAACGCUGGCGGCAUGCCUAACACAUGCAAGUCGAACGAGACCUUCGGGUCUAGUGGCGCACGGGUGCGUAACGCGUGGGAAUCUGCCCUUGGGUUCGGAAUAACAGUUGGAAACGACUGCUAAUACCGGAUGAUGACGUAAGUCCAAAGAUUUAUCGCCCAAGGAUGAGCCCGCGUAGGAUUAGCUAGUUGGUGAGGUAAAGGCUCACCAAGGCGACGAUCCUUAGCUGGUCUGAGAGGAUGAUCAGCCACACUGGGACUGAGACACGGCCCAGACUCCUACGGGAGGCAGCAGUGGGGAAUAUUGGACAAUGGGCGAAAGCCUGAUCCAGCAAUGCCGCGUGAGUGAUGAAGGCCUUAGGGUUGUAAAGCUCUUUUACCCGGGAUGAUAAUGACAGUACCGGGAGAAUAAGCUCCGGGCUAACUCCGUGCCAGCAGCCGCGGUAAU
RNAcentral lists this ribosomal RNA (451 nucleotides) under uncultured bacterium. Its description in RNAcentral is "bacterial SSU rRNA". It matches the Rfam family "Bacterial small subunit ribosomal RNA", at positions 29 to 524 of the family's 1533-position model. The record is from RNAcentral.